GAAAAUAAUUGGCGGUACAUAUUCUAAAAUUGGAACGAUACAGAGAUUAGCAUGGCCCCUGCGCAAGGAUGACACGCAAAUUCGUGAAGCGUUCCUCCUUUUA
RNAcentral lists this small nuclear RNA (103 nucleotides) under Octopus bimaculoides (California two-spot octopus). The record is from RNAcentral. Lineage: Eukaryota; Metazoa; Mollusca; Cephalopoda; Octopoda; Octopodidae.